GACGAACGCUGGCGGCGUGCUUAACACAUGCAAGUCGAACGGUAAGGCCCUUCGGGGUGCACGAGUGGCGAACGGGUGAGUAACACGUGGGUGAUCUGCCCUGCACUUCGGGAUAAGCCUGGGAAACUGGGUCUAAUACCGGAUAGGACUCCGGACUGCAUGGUCUGGGGUGGAAAGCUUUUGCGGUGUGGGAUGGGCCCGCGGCCUAUCAGCUUGUUGGUGGGGGGAUGGACUACCAAGGCGACGACGGGUAGCCGGCCUGAGAGGGGGACCGGCCACACUGGGACCGAGAUACGGCCCAGACUCCUACGGGAGGCAGCGGUGGGGAAUAUUGCACAAUGGGCGCAAGCCUGAUGCAGCGACGCCGCGUGAGGGAUGACGGCCUUCGGGUUGUAAACCUCUUUCAGCAUCGACGAAGCGAAAGUGACGGUAGGUGCAGAAGAAGGACCGGCCAACUACGUGCCAGCAGCCGCCGUAA
This 478-nucleotide ribosomal RNA is filed under the name uncultured bacterium. Its description in RNAcentral is "partial 16S ribosomal RNA". It matches the Rfam family "Bacterial small subunit ribosomal RNA", at positions 28 to 523 of the family's 1533-position model. The record is from RNAcentral.